AAUGAAUGUGAACAUUAAAUGAGUUAAAUUUGCUAUUAUAGAUCAAGAAAGACGUGAAGAUUAUCUCAAACGAGGAAAAGAAAAGAUAGUGGAGUGAAGUGCAAAAUUACGAUAUUUACUAUCAUGGUCUUAAUUGAGCUAGCUUGCCUCAUCAGGUAAUUUGCUGCAUUCCAUUUAUUUAGAGUUAUUUGGAAUGUUUAGUAUUUAAUAUUGUCAUAGUUGAAAGUAUCAUUCAUAAUCUAAUCUAAUUGUGUUUUUGGCAAGUGGUUGUUGAUCAAGGAAAACUAAAGGAGGCCAAUAAGAAGAACGAAACUCCACAUCUUUACUAUCAUGUUCUACAAAACAAAUAGACUUUUUUCUCGAUGAAAUUUGUAUUGGGCUAUCAAUGUUUCAUGGAUUAUGUUGUUUUUCUAAUGUAAGAGGGGGUUUUGCCAAUAUUGCACGCAAAAUCAAAGUAUUAUUUGCCA
This 467-nucleotide long non-coding RNA is filed under the name Gossypium barbadense (sea-island cotton). RNAcentral describes it as "long non-coding RNA (GBAR_LNC023130)". The record is from RNAcentral. Lineage: Eukaryota; Viridiplantae; Streptophyta; Magnoliopsida; Malvales; Malvaceae.